Humulus lupulus (European hop) is the source of this 474-nucleotide long non-coding RNA. RefSeq lists it as uncharacterized. NCBI's taxonomy places the organism in Eukaryota, Viridiplantae, Streptophyta, Magnoliopsida, Rosales, Cannabaceae. The record is from RefSeq and is a predicted model, not a curated record. The transcript has 2 exons.
CUUUCCCCUCUAAUCCCUACUUAUUUUCUUUUUGUCAACCUAAUCGGCCGCACACCCUUUUCUCAUGGUAUCAUUGCAUGUCUCUCCGAUGAGAUGGGUUGCUAGCUAUCAAUGGCGUCGGGGCUUGGGACUAUAGCGUGUGGUGGUUAUAUCGUGCAAGGGCAGAGGUGAUGGCCAUAGAUGGAUUUGGUGGAGCUCUGGGAAAUUUUCAGUCAUGUGUAUCUGGGGCCAUCUUCGACAUCAGUUGGUGGUUUUGGAUUGACUUUGUUGUCCGCAACCCCAUCAAGGUUAGCUUCAUCCAUUAUCUUGAUUUAUCUUUUGACAUUUUUGUUUAUAUAUAUAUAUUUCUGGUUUAUGUUGUAAAUUGUAUAUUUGUUGUGUGUAAUUUUGUGGAACCCAAAUCCUAGAUAUUGGGUUCGAGGUAUCUAGAUUUUGGUCUUUGUUAUAUAUUUAUCUAGUUGUCUUUUAGAUCAA